This 504-nucleotide ribosomal RNA is filed under the name uncultured Lachnospiraceae bacterium. Its description in RNAcentral is "partial 16S ribosomal RNA". Lineage: Bacteria; Bacillati; Bacillota; Clostridia; Lachnospirales; Lachnospiraceae. The record is from RNAcentral.
CACGUAGUCAGCCGGGGCUUCUUGGUCAGGUACUGUCAUUUUCUUCCCUGCUGAUAGAGCUUUACAUACCGAAAUACUUCUUCACUCACGCGGCGUCGCUGCAUCAGGGUUUCCCCCAUUGUGCAAUAUCCCCCACUGCUGCCUCCCGUAGGAGUUUGGGCCGUGUCUCAGUCCCAAUGUGGCCGUCCGCCCUCUCAGGCCGGCUACUGAUCGUCGCUUUGGUAGGCCGUUACCCUGCCAACUGGCUAAUCAGACGCGGGUCCAUCAUAUACCACCGGAGUUUUUCACACCGGGGCAUGCGCCCCUGUGCGCUUAUGCGGUAUUAGCACCUAUUUCUAAGUGUUAUCCCCCUGUAUAUGGCAGGUUACCCACGCGUUACUCACCCGUCCGCCACGUAGGGCGUAGAAAAGUUUGAAGUCUAGUAAACUAUCCCUCUCGCACAUCACGCCCCCGUUCGACUUGCAUGUGUUAAGCACGCCGCCAGCGUUCAUCCUGACGCCAGGA